Molecule: long non-coding RNA, 1732 nt
Organism: Acipenser ruthenus (sterlet)
Lineage: Eukaryota; Metazoa; Chordata; Actinopteri; Acipenseriformes; Acipenseridae
Exons: 7
Source: RefSeq, a predicted model, not a curated record
ACCAUGGUGUUUACCUUCUCAAUCGUUGAAAGUGAGAGAACGAACUACACAAACAGACAGAAGUGAGAAGAGGUUAAUGUUCACAGGACAGGAUACCAGCAGAAAUGAAAACGAGGAACAGCCACUGCCUGAGGCUACUGUGCACAAUCCAACUGAAACAAUAGUGAUUAAUGAGGAGUCCUUCCUGCAAUGUAUUGACCAAGCUACGACUAGUGAAGAACAUCUGAUUUUCCCUGUUGUGGAAGAAUUCAGUCCAUCACAAGCACUCUCUUCAUAAUGCAUCUACUGGUAACUGCAUUGUGAACAACCCUGACACUGCAACUGCUCUGCCCACAGCUACUAGUAAAACAAAUUCUGUCUACCAAACCACAGAAAACCAAGCAAUCAAAACCAAUCUAUUCAACAGCAUCACAAUUUGAAGAGAAUUACAAGUAAAGUACCUUGCUCAAGAGUACCGCAGCAGUGUCCCCCACCUGGGAUUGAACCCACAACCCUCUGAUCAAGAGUCCUGAGCCCUAACCACUACUCCAUACUGCUGCUGUAGGUAAUUAGAAGACAUUACACAGAACUUCUCAUGAAUGGGCCACCCAAUUUGGACAAGGAUGAACAGUACAUUGAAGAUUGCCUAGACCCCUUGCAAAGCAAUGAGUGGAACAGGUUUAAAGGGGGACUAGGUGUGCUUGAUGCAAUGACUGCGCAUCCUGAGCUGUUCAAGAAUGCAUUCAUCUGGGAGAAGGUAGUGAUGACUUCAGAAAUUAUGGACAGUCUCUUCCAAAUCACCUACAGUCCAGUGGGAAGCAAUAGGAGAAUACUUCAAGAGAAACUUAUUGGCUACUGACGAGAAUUUCUACAGGAUUGUGAAGAGGAGGAAUGCAGCACCCAGCUACCAGAUGUUCUGUCUUUUGUGACUACAGCAAACCUAAUUCCACCACUUGGUUUCGGUCCUCAACCUUCAAUUGAGUUUAUCCAAAGUAAGGAUGGGAAUGGUUCCCUACGGGAUGCCUUCCCGCUCCCAGCUCCGGAGGUCUGUGCCUCACCUCUUGCGAGGGCUGCACCAGACCAGUCAGGGAACCCUUUACAAUCUCGCCUUUCUGUCCUAAGCUGUUGGACUAUUCCUAUCGCCCAGAGAGGCACUUCUGCCAAGCAGAGCCCUUUUAUAUGUUUUCAGAUCCUCGGGAACGUGACCUUCGACCAACCUCUGUCCUCGGCAAUAGGAGAGCUCGUUGGUCGUGAUUUCUUUUCUAUCCUAAUUUCAAGCCCGGGCCGCUCUAAGCCCGCACCUUAUUCCGAGCUACGGGCUCAUUCCCCUAUCCUUGGCCAAGCAUCCUCCACUCAAUACUGUCUUAGUAACCUCUAAUUUCUGCUUCCUCUGUUCUAUUCUUACAGCCCCAGCAUGAUGAUUUAUUUAUUUGUAAUGUCAGAGCAUUUCCUGCAUUUUUUUCUUUAAGUGUUCAAAUAUUUGACAGCCUGAUUUUUUUUUUUUUUUUUGCAUUAUUUGUUUUAACAAUUGGGGUAUGUUAACUUUUGACUUUUGUAUAGGAAUCGCCAAAGUGUAUUACAUUUUUAUUAACCCUUUCAAAUGCUGGUACCUUAGGUUUGUCUUCAUUUUACAUAGUUUGUCAGUGAUAUAACAAAUUGGGCACGUGCUAUGAUGGUUUUAAUGAUGUUAUUAAAACUGUAAAGUAUGAUUUAAAAUAUGUGGCCACUGAAAUAAACACAUUUUGCCUUUUAU